UACGGGGGGUGCGAGCGUUGUCCGGAAUCACUGGGCGUAAAGGGCGCGUAGGUGGUUUGAUAAGGGUGUGGUGAAAGUCCGGGGCUCAACCCCGGAUCUGCCGUGCCGACUGUCAAACUCGAGGACUGUAGAGGCAGACGGAAUUCCGGGUGUAGCGGUGGAAUGCGUAGAGAUCCGGAGGAACACCAGUGGCGAAGGCGACACGCUGGGCCGUACCUGACACUGAUACGCGACAGCAUGGGGAGCGAACGGG
This 253-nucleotide ribosomal RNA is filed under the name uncultured bacterium. RNAcentral describes it as "partial 16S ribosomal RNA". It matches the Rfam family "Bacterial small subunit ribosomal RNA", at positions 524 to 776 of the family's 1533-position model. The record is from RNAcentral.